GACGAACGCUGGCGGCGUGCCUAAUACAUGCAAGUAGAACGCACAGUUUAUACCGUAGCUUGCUACACCAUAGACUGUGAGUUGCGAACGGGUGAGUAACGCGUAGGUAACCUGCCUGGUAGCGGGGGAUAACUAUUGGAAACGAUAGCUAAUACCGCAUAAUAUUAAUUAUUGCAUGAUAAUUAAUUGAAAGGUGCAAUUGCACCACUACCAGAUGGACCUGCGUUGUAUUAGCUAGUAGGUGAGGUAACGGCUCACCUAGGCGACGAUACAUAGCCGACCUGAGAGGGUGAUCGGCCACACUGGGACUGAGACACGGCCCAGACUCCUACGGGAGGCAGCAGUAGGGAAUCUUCGGCAAUGGACGAAAGUCUGACCGAGCAACGCCGCGUGAGUGGAGAAGGUUUUCGGAUCGUAAAGCUCUGUUGUAAGAGAAGAACGGGUGUGAGAGUGGAAAGUUCACACUGUGACGGUAGCUUACCAGAAAGGGACGGCUAACUACGUG
This 505-nucleotide ribosomal RNA is filed under the name uncultured bacterium. RNAcentral describes it as "partial 16S ribosomal RNA". It matches the Rfam family "Bacterial small subunit ribosomal RNA", at positions 28 to 507 of the family's 1533-position model. The record is from RNAcentral.